RNAcentral lists this non-coding RNA (54 nucleotides) under Spodoptera frugiperda (fall armyworm). Lineage: Eukaryota; Metazoa; Arthropoda; Insecta; Lepidoptera; Noctuidae. The record is from RNAcentral.
AGGGUACCUGUAGUCAGGCAGGCGGUUCUAGCCUGACAACAGGUACUCCACUGG